Molecule: ribosomal RNA, 483 nt
Filed under: uncultured bacterium
Lineage: Bacteria
Description: partial 16S ribosomal RNA
Rfam family: Bacterial small subunit ribosomal RNA
Source: RNAcentral
AUUGAACGCUGGCGGCAGGCCUAACACAUGCAAGUCGAACGGAUGAAGGGAGCUUGCUCCUGGAUUCAGCGGCGGACGGGUGAGUAAUGCCUAGGAAUCUGCCUGGUAGUGGGGGAUAACGUCCGGAAACGGGCGCUAAUACCGCAUACGUCCUGAGGGAGAAAGUGGGGGAUCUUCGGACCUCACGCUAUCAGAUGAGCCUAGGUCGGAUUAGCUAGUUGGUGGGGUAAAGGCCUACCAAGGCGACGAUCCGUAACUGGUCUGAGAGGAUGAUCAGUCACACUGGAACUGAGACACGGUCCAGACUCCUACGGGAGGCAGCAGUGGGGAAUAUUGGACAAUGGGCGAAAGCCUGAUCCAGCCAUGCCGCGUGUGUGAAGAAGGUCUGCGGAUUGUAAAGCACUUUAAGUUGGGAGGAAGGGCAGUAAGUUAAUACCUGGCUGUUUGGACGUUACCAACAGAAUAAGCACCGGCUAACUUCGU